GAACACCUCCAGGAAUGGGGACUUCCCCCAUCGUGUGCAGCUGUGCCACUGCAGCACCACUCUUCUGGAGGAGAAAUUGUUCCCAAUAUCCAACCCGAACUUCCCUUGGAGCAGCUUAAGGCCAUUACCCUCAUUUGUUGCCCUUGCCAUCCAUCACUGCCAUUCGUCAGCUUCAUUUCAUGUUGGAGGGCAUCAGUGGUGUCCCCUCUUGUUCUGGACACAGUUCCUCCAUUCCGUUUGGAAUUUAACUCCUCCCUCAGGGGCAGAGAGGGGCUGCAGGGACCCCAUCCAGGAGGAAUGGGAGGUGAACCAUCAGGGGAUGGGGGAAGUCAGUCUCUUCCUCCGCCACCUGCCUGGCUUCUCGCAGAGCUCCCUCCCCGCAGCACGGAGAGGCACAAACAGCUCUCGUUAGAAGCUGCUGAUAACAGGAGCCCACUGUGCUGUGUGAGCAGACACUGACUGCACAAGGGCAGUGAUUCACCUGAGGAGGAUUAUCUCAGAGUCCCACAGGGGACUGGCAUCGCCCCUAUGGGAUCACAGGAAGAGGGAUGCUUCCUCUGCAAGAGGAUAAAGCAAGCGGCGGGUGGAGAAAAAGAAGCAGAAGCAAUAAAUGAAAGUGAUGGUGGUCACA
Molecule: non-coding RNA, 631 nt
Organism: Phasianus colchicus (ring-necked pheasant)
Lineage: Eukaryota; Metazoa; Chordata; Aves; Galliformes; Phasianidae
Source: RefSeq, a predicted model, not a curated record